RNAcentral lists this small RNA (75 nucleotides) under Flavobacterium sp. 9AF. Its description in RNAcentral is "Flavo-1 RNA". It matches the Rfam family "Flavo-1 RNA". The record is from Rfam by way of RNAcentral. Lineage: Bacteria; Pseudomonadati; Bacteroidota; Flavobacteriia; Flavobacteriales; Flavobacteriaceae.
UUGUGUUAGCGGUUGUAACGGCAUCCUUUUUUGUUUGUUAAAACAAAAAAGAUAGAGUGAAAGACGCGACCUGAA